UAGAGGAAGUAAAAGUCGUAACAAGGUUUCCGUAGGUGAACCUGCGGAAGGAUCAUUAUUGAAUAACUUUGGCGUGGUUGUAGCUGGCCCUCUCGGGGGCAUGUGCUCGCCCGUCAUCUUUAUAUUUCCACCUGUGCACUUUUUGUAGAUCAUUGUUUUUGGAAGCUGGAUUGAAGUCAGAGAUUACUCUCUGAUGAAUUGAAGGCUUUCUCAAUGAUGGUCUACGUUUUCAUAUACUCCAAUGAAUGUAACAGAAUGUAUCUAUAUGGCCUUGUGCCUAUAAAACAAUAUACAACUUUCAGCAACGGAUCUCUUGGCUCUCGCAUCGAUGAAGAACGCAGCGAAAUGCGAUAAGUAAUGUGAAUUGCAGAAUUCAGUGAAUCAUCGAAUCUUUGAACGCACCUUGCGCUCCUUGGUAUUCCGAGGAGCAUGCCUGUUUGAGUGUCAUUAAAUUCUCAACCUUACCAGCUUUUGUUAGCUUGUGUAAUGGCUUGGACUUGGGGGUUUAUUUUGCCGGCUUCUUACCAAGUCAGCUCCCCUUAAAUGCAUUAGCCGGCUGCCCGCUGUGGACCGUCUAUUGGUGUGAUAAUUAUCUACGCCGUGGAUGUCUACUAUUAAUGGGUUGAAGCUGCUUCAAACCGUCUGUUUACUCAGACAAUUAAUGACAAUUUGACCUCAAAUCAGGUAGGACUACCCGCUGAACUUAAGCAUAUCA
Molecule: ribosomal RNA, 715 nt
Filed under: Psilocybe cubensis
Lineage: Eukaryota; Fungi; Basidiomycota; Agaricomycetes; Agaricales; Agrocybaceae
Description: eukaryotic LSU rRNA
Rfam family: 5.8S ribosomal RNA (bases 294-447)
Source: RNAcentral